CCCUACGGGGCGCCCAGCCGGAAAACUUUCUCAUAUGAGGAAACAGCUUAUAAGGGGACACCGAGUGYCAGCAUCGAUAUAGCGUGAGCGUGUUUUAGAUGUGUAUAGAUACAUCCGUUAAAWASGGCCGGGNAANCC
This 138-nucleotide ribosomal RNA is filed under the name uncultured archaeon. RNAcentral's name for it is "partial 16S ribosomal RNA". The record is from RNAcentral.